GGAAGGGUGGCAGAGUGGUCGAUUGCGGCGGUCUUGAAAACCGUUGAUGCGAGAGUAUCCGUGGGUUCGAAUCCCACCCCUUCCGCCA
This 88-nucleotide transfer RNA is filed under the name Paroceanicella profunda. RNAcentral's name for it is "Paraoceanicella profunda tRNA-Ser". It matches the Rfam family "tRNA". From Rfam's summary of the family: Transfer RNA (tRNA) molecules are approximately 80 nucleotides in length. Their secondary structure includes four short double-helical elements and three loops (D, anti-codon, and T loops). Further hydrogen bonds mediate the characteristic L-shaped molecular structure. tRNAs have two regions of fundamental functional importance: the anti-codon, which is responsible for specific mRNA codon recognition, and the 3' end, to which the tRNAs corresponding amino acid is attached (by aminoacyl-tRNA synthetases). tRNAs cope with the degeneracy of the genetic code in two manners: having more than one tRNA (with a specific anti-codon) for a particular amino acid; and 'wobble' base-pairing, i.e. permitting non-standard base-pairing at the 3rd anti-codon position. Lineage: Bacteria; Pseudomonadati; Pseudomonadota; Alphaproteobacteria; Rhodobacterales; Paracoccaceae. The record is from RNAcentral.